Molecule: long non-coding RNA, 489 nt
Organism: Corvus hawaiiensis (hawaiian crow)
Lineage: Eukaryota; Metazoa; Chordata; Aves; Passeriformes; Corvidae
Exons: 3
Source: RefSeq, a predicted model, not a curated record
UGUGGUUGCUGGGACAACCCAUUAGCCAGCAGCCCCUGGGCAGCCUGGGCCAUCCUGAACUAUGAUGAUCUCUAAGGUCCUUUCCAACCCAAACCAUUCCAUGAUUCCAUAAUCCUUCAGCUGAUGGAUCCAUCACCCUUGUUGGGAGCAAAGAGGAGCCACAACAGAACGCUGGGUGCCACCCUUUGUGUGUAUCCAGGUCUCUGACCGUUAUCUUCCGGUCUCAGCAGAAGAGCAGUGGUGUAAUUAACAGCUUCAUGAAUACCAGAGUAAUAAUUAUGAACUGCAGGAAUGGCUGUUGCAUCAGGAAUUCCUCUUGUAGAACUGCAGCAGCUUUUUGGCUCUUCAGAACUCAGGAGACACAUGUAAAGGGAUGGGAGCUGAGCACACCAGGGCUGGGACAUCCAUGUGGCCUCAGGCAUCAAACAGUGCUGAACAGGGAAAACACUCCCAGCUGGCACAACCUUUACAGCAAUGGAGGAGGAGAAA